Podarcis raffonei (Aeolian wall lizard) is the source of this 445-nucleotide long non-coding RNA. RefSeq lists it as uncharacterized. NCBI's taxonomy places the organism in Eukaryota, Metazoa, Chordata, Lepidosauria, Squamata, Lacertidae. The record is from RefSeq and is a predicted model, not a curated record. The transcript has 2 exons.
ACCACAGACAGCUCCUGUCCUGUAUAUUCAUCACGUUAUUCUGAAUGGUUCAGCCCAAGUUAUUGCAUCUGAGUAAUGGUGGCACCUUUAAGAGAGACUUCCUCAAUUAAACUCAGCUGAGAAAGCCAGGCUCCUCCCAUCAGUUCAUCCAGCAACUGCCAUUUCUUUUCAGAACCUUCUCUCCAUCAUUGGUGGUUUCAGAAUUGCAUGUGUAUCUCCUUUUCCUGAUCCUUAGGUUAUAAUAAACUAUUAUUUUAAACAGAAAUCCAGUUGAACCCUUUUGGCAUAUGAAUAGAGUAAACCAAUAAGAGUGCACAGUUUAGCCUGUGGAUGAGUGCAGUUGCCAGGCAGGCUGGUCCUCAAGGCUCAAGAUUUGAGUACAAGUGCUACCUUUGUCACAUAAUUCCUCAUGCGGUCUUUGAGCUUUCAGUCUUGUGGGGGGGGG